CCUACGGGGUGCAGCAGUGGGGAAUAUUGGACAAUGGGCGAAAGCCUGAUCCAGCCAUGCCGCGUGUGUGAAGAAGGCCUUCGGGUUGUAAAGCACUUUCAGUGGGGAAGAAAGCCUUGGGGCUAAUACCCUCGAGGAAGGACAUCACCCACAGAAGAAGCACCGGCUAACUCCGUGCCAGCAGCCGCGGUAAUACGGAGGGUGCGAGCGUUAAUCGGAAUUACUGGGCGUAAAGCGCGCGUAGGCGGUCUGAUAAGCCGGUUGUGAAAGCCCCGGGCUCAACCUGGGAACGGCAUCCGGAACUGUCAGGCUAGAGUGCAGGAGAGGAAGGUAGAAUUCCCGGUGUAGCGGUGAAAUGCGUAGAGAUCGGGAGGAAUACCAGUGGCGAAGGCGGUCUUCUGGACUGACACUGACGCUGAGGUGCGAAAGCGUGGGUAGCAAACAGGAUUAGAUACCCUGGUAGUC
RNAcentral lists this ribosomal RNA (465 nucleotides) under Vreelandella stevensii. RNAcentral's name for it is "partial 16S ribosomal RNA". It matches the Rfam family "Bacterial small subunit ribosomal RNA", at positions 338 to 795 of the family's 1533-position model. Lineage: Bacteria; Pseudomonadati; Pseudomonadota; Gammaproteobacteria; Oceanospirillales; Halomonadaceae. The record is from RNAcentral.